GACGAACGCUGGCGGCGUGCUUAACACAUGCAAGUCGAACGGACAGGCCCCUUUGGGGGUACUCGAGUGGCGAACGGGUGAGUAACACGAGAGUAACCUGCCCUUGACUUCGGGAUAACUUUAGGAAACUGGGGCCAAUACUGGAUAGGAAUACUUGCUGCAUGGUGGGGGUUGGAAAGCUUAGGCGGUUUUGGCUGGACUCGCGGCUUAUCAGCUUGUUGGUGUGGUAGUGGCUUACCAAGGCUUUGACGGGUAGCCGGCCUGAGAGGGCGACCGGCCACAUUGGGACUGAGAGACGGCCCAGACUCCUACGGGAGGCAGCAGUGGGGAAUAUUGCAGAAUGAGCGGAAGCCGGAUGCAGCAACGCCGCGUGCGGGAUGACGGCCUUCGGGUUGUAAACCGCUUUCAGCAGGGGCGAAGCUUGUGGUGACGGUACCUGCAGAAGAAGCACCGGCUAACUACGUG
Molecule: ribosomal RNA, 465 nt
Filed under: uncultured bacterium
Lineage: Bacteria
Description: partial 16S ribosomal RNA
Rfam family: Bacterial small subunit ribosomal RNA
Source: RNAcentral